This 156-nucleotide non-coding RNA is filed under the name bovine gut metagenome. The record is from RNAcentral.
GGAGAAUCUUAGAUUUUCUUGAUGUUCUGUAAACAAAUCAGCAAUGCAGCAACACGGAUGUUGAUGCAAGCAAAAAACGGGGCAUGGACGCCACGUCUUUUGCGGUUGCGGGCAUUGUGUAUAUGUUGGCAGAACAUUUAGAAAAUGUUAGAUUCG